GAUGAACGCUAGCGGCAGGCUUAACACAUGCAAGUCGAGGGGCAGCACGAGGUAGCAAUACUUUGGUGGCGACCGGCGCACGGGUGCGUAACGCGUAUGCAACCUACCUUUAACAGGGGCAUAACACUGAGAAAUUGGUACUAAUUCCCCAUAACAUUCGAGAAGGCAUCUUCUUGGGUUAAAACUACCGGUGGUUAAAGAUGGCGAUGCGUUGUAUUAGUCUAGUUGGUUGAGGUAACGGACGUCACCAAGGCAACGAUACAUAGGGGGACGUGAGAGGUUAACCCCCCACCAUUGGUACUGAGACACGGACCAAACU
Molecule: ribosomal RNA, 319 nt
Filed under: uncultured bacterium
Lineage: Bacteria
Description: bacterial SSU rRNA
Rfam family: Bacterial small subunit ribosomal RNA
Source: RNAcentral